AGGUAUAAAGGUUAUUUGGCUGUGAUAUCUGUCAUCCUGUCAAUCAGUUGAUUUAACUAAUCUGGCUGGCUAGAUAGAUAUUCCCUUCCUCCUUCACCAGUUCAUGCGUGUCUUUCCUAAAGCUACACAUGUGGUUGAAGAGGACCUUUCUCAAGAGAGGAAGAUCAUUCUUGAGUCAAAGAUCUAUGAGUAGCUCAAUUCCUUGCUACAAACUCCAAACAAAUGAUGUAUGUCUAUUUGUAGGAGAAGGUAGGGUAUUCAAGCUGUCAGGAUUCUAGAUCUAGCUAAAUGAAGUACUACAAUGCAGAAGUAUGCCUUUCUUU
Cricetulus griseus (Chinese hamster) is the source of this 323-nucleotide unclassified non-coding RNA. Its record names the gene 7SK. It matches the Rfam family "7SK RNA". From Rfam's summary of the family: 7SK was discovered as an abundant small nuclear RNA in the mid-70s but a possible function has only recently been suggested. Two independent studies have found that 7SK RNA binds the CDK9/cyclin T complex (known as elongation factor P-TEFb). P-TEFb activates transcription by phosphorylating the C-terminal domain of RNA polymerase II. NCBI's taxonomy places the organism in Eukaryota, Metazoa, Chordata, Mammalia, Rodentia, Cricetidae. The record is from Ensembl.